UGGACAAUGGGGGGAAAGCCUGAUCCAGCCAUGCCGCGUGUGUGAAGAAGGUCUUCGGAUUGUAAAGCACUUUUAGUUGGGAGGAAGGGGAGUAACUUAAUACCUUGCUAUUUUGACGUUACCGACAGAAUAAGCCCCGGCUAACUUCGUGCCAGCAGCCGCGG
RNAcentral lists this ribosomal RNA (164 nucleotides) under uncultured bacterium. RNAcentral's name for it is "partial 16S ribosomal RNA". It matches the Rfam family "Bacterial small subunit ribosomal RNA", at positions 365 to 520 of the family's 1533-position model. The record is from RNAcentral.